CCCAGAAGCAAUAUCACUCUGCAACUCACAACUGGCAACCCACUGAAACUAAGCAGGUGUGAGCCUGGUCAGUACCUGGAUGGUAGACCUCCUGGGAAACACUAAGGUUGCUGCUGGAA
Lepisosteus oculatus (spotted gar) is the source of this 119-nucleotide ribosomal RNA. The record is from Rfam. NCBI's taxonomy places the organism in Eukaryota, Metazoa, Chordata, Actinopteri, Semionotiformes, Lepisosteidae.